UACGGGAGGGUGCGAGCGUUGUCCGGAAUUAUUGGGCGUAAAGAGCUCGUAGGUGGUUUGUUACGUCUGCUGUGAAAACCUAGGGCUUAACCCUGGGCCUGCAGUGGAUACGGGCAGACUAGAGGUAGGUAGGGGAGAAUGGAAUUCCCGGUGUAGCGGUGAAAUGACGCAGAUAAUCGGGAGGAACACCGGUGGCGAAGGCGGUUCUCUGGGCCUUACCUGACACUGAGGAGCGAAAGCGUGGGGAGCGAACAGG
This 256-nucleotide ribosomal RNA is filed under the name uncultured bacterium. RNAcentral's name for it is "partial 16S ribosomal RNA". It matches the Rfam family "Bacterial small subunit ribosomal RNA", at positions 524 to 776 of the family's 1533-position model. The record is from RNAcentral.